AUUGAACGCUGGCGGCAGGCCUAACACAUGCAAGUCGAACGGUAGCACAGAGAGCUUGCUCUCGGGUGACGAGUGGCGGACGGGUGAGUAACGUCUGGGAAACUGCCCGAUGGAGGGGGAUAACUACUGGAAACGGUAGCUAAUACCGCAUAACGUCGCAAGACCAAAGUGGGGGACCUUCGGGCCUCACACCAUCGGAUGUGCCCAGAUGGGAUUAGCUAGUAGGUGGGGUAAUGGCUCACCUAGGCGACGAUCCCUAGCUGGUCUGAGAGGAGGACCAGCCACACUGGAACUGAGACACGGUCCAGACUCCUACGGGAGGCAGCAGUGGGGAAUAUUGCACAAUGGGCGCAAGCCUGAUGCAGCCAUGCCGCGUGUAUGAAGAAGGCCUUCGGGUUGUAAAGUACUUUCAGCGGGGAGGAAGGCGGUGAAGUUAAUAACCUUGCCGAUUGACGUUACCCGCAGAAGAAGCACCGGCUAACUCCGUGCCAGCCGCCGCCGUAA
This 504-nucleotide ribosomal RNA is filed under the name uncultured bacterium. RNAcentral describes it as "partial 16S ribosomal RNA". It matches the Rfam family "Bacterial small subunit ribosomal RNA", at positions 29 to 523 of the family's 1533-position model. The record is from RNAcentral.